Long non-coding RNA from Rhododendron vialii, 608 nucleotides. RefSeq lists it as uncharacterized. The transcript is spliced from 2 exons. Lineage: Eukaryota; Viridiplantae; Streptophyta; Magnoliopsida; Ericales; Ericaceae. The record is from RefSeq and is a predicted model, not a curated record.
AGUUCCAUUCAUCACAGACGCCUUUUAUACUCUCCUUUAGACUUUUCAUAGCCUUUAUAUUUCCUGUUCUGCAACAAAUAUGGAGGAAAAAGACUCGAGGGAUGAAGACAGAGAGGAACCAAAUUAUAUGUCCCUUGAAACUUUGGGAGGAGCUGCUAGUUAAUUCAUCUGGAACACUCAUUUGAGCAAGAAAAUCGAAACCACUGACGUAACGAAGAUACGAGAAAAAUAACUCGUGAUCGGGCCUCGACCUCGGACCUUCAUAGGGGUCGCAAGGUCAACAGUGGCAUUAUAUUUAAUUUUUUUACUAGCUAGGUUUAAUUCGCCUCUCCUAUGGCAUGCAUCAUGCAAUAUUAAAAGAAACCAAAAUAUUACUCUCUACUUUUAGUCCCCUUUUCAUUCAUGGGAGAGGAGACUUAAAAUCUGUCUUCUUCUUUUUUUUCAUUAUGGAUGAGAGAAACACAUAAGCCCUUUCAUUAAUUAUGAUCAAGGUUAUGACAUAACUUGAGAUAAUUGUUUUACUGAAUUACAAGAAGACUUCAAAAAAUAUGUAACUGACCAAGGCAUUUGGAAUGGAAAUCAAGUUUCUUGGUAUUGACCAAUCAACA